RNAcentral lists this long non-coding RNA (7629 nucleotides) under Citrus x clementina. Its description in RNAcentral is "Citrus clementina (C. clementina) long non-coding RNA (CCLE_LNC003437)". Lineage: Eukaryota; Viridiplantae; Streptophyta; Magnoliopsida; Sapindales; Rutaceae. The record is from RNAcentral.
GAGAUUUUAAGAUUUUAAUAGAAAUUAAAAGGAAAAUUAAAAGUUAAAGAUUAAUUCUUAAGAAACUGAUAAUUUUGGGAAUUUAAUUUUUUUUGAAAGAAUAAUUAUUAAUGAAUUAAUGGUUAGACAAUAUUAUUAUUUAUAUCUCUUUAACAUUAAAAUUAUCAAAUAUAGAUUUUCUAUCAAAAAAAUUCUUAAUUGUAGGAUAAUUAUUAAUUAGAGAAAUAUCUAAAAUAGGCUUUCCUACAUAUGCAACUUAAAAAAAUCUUUAUUAAUUAGAAUAUUAUAAUGGACAUAAUAAAAAAAAAUGGAGUCUUUCUAAAAUAUAGGGCCCUAGGUGAUAGGGUUGGCAAAUCUUGGGUCCGGGUCUAGGUAUGGUAAUGCCCGAACCCAGUGCAUAUGUAUUUUUUAGACACUCAGGCUAAGUUUUUUAAUCCUUGUUUUUAUAGCCGGAUUAUAUUUCUUAAUAUUAUAUAUUUAUACUUUUUUUAUAAUUUUAUAAUUUUUAAAUUUAUUUCAAUGAAAUUGGACAUGAAAAUAUGAAUUUUAAAUGUUUAAAGCUUUACACAUCUAUAAUAGAUGAGUCAAAUAAAUAUAAUUAUUUAAAAUAAUAUAUAUUUUAUAAUUUUUUCAAUAAAAUUUAUGUUCCAGGCCGGAUCCCGAGCUUAUCAAGUAAUGUAGGAGACCGAUUCGACUUCAUCCUUGGGGUGGGUAAUACCUAGCAUUCCCUGUGUCCAGUCCGAGUCUGGGUCUAGACUAGGUGAUUAUUUUUUAUACUUUUAUCAGGUGAUUGUCUUGUUCGCCUAUACUUAGAGUUGUCUUUGUACAAGGCGAGCAGAGCCUAAAUUAAUCGCAAGUUUCGAACAAGAUGGCCAAUUAAAUAAAACCGCUUGAAACAACUUGGCCAUACCCUCUGCAUGCUUGUGUUUAUAGAUUUACCUUGAUUUGAAAUUUUUGUGUUUAUUUACUAUGUUUUAUUUAAUUAUUAAAUGAUUGACUAAAAUAUAUAGGAAUAACAUUUUUAUAGAAAUUUUAGUUUCGUAAAUAAAAAAUGGUGGUUCUACCACAAAGUUACUAACAAAAAGAAGCACCCAAAGUGAUAAUGACAUCAUAUAAUUUUUUAUUACAAAAGACAAUGUCAACCAAAAUUUCUUUCCAUAUUAUAAAAAAUUAAAGAUAAGAUUAAAGUUGAAAACUAAUUUCAUGGUGAAGUAAGCAAUACUUGGAACAUUUUUUAAGAAGCCACAUAGACACAUCAUAUAGAUUAAGUUUUAAAUUAGUUAAAUAUUAAUUUAUACAGUAAGUGGGGCCCUAUCAAUUUUUUUUUUAUAAUUUACUAUCUUAUAAAUUACUAAUUUAACAUGUUGGUCCCAAGUUCAAACAGUCAAGAAUAACUUAUUCAAUUGAAAUUAUCAAUUUAUCGAGUAUUAUUUUAUCCAAAUUGUAUGGUUCAACAAGGGAAAGUUGAACCAAUAUUACACUAUCAAUAACAAUAUUGAGAUUAUAUCUUCUUUUGCUAGCAACAGGAAUUCUAAAAGAAUAAACUGAAAAGUAAUUAAGGUCUAAAAAUAAUAUUAAAAUUAAUUCUUAACAAAUUAGGGAUGAAGGCCAUAUAUGGUAAGGGUGUUCGCGGACCAAUCUAUAUCUGAUCCAAGAUUUUAUUGAUUACAAAUAUUUAAUCCAAUCUAAUCCAUGAAUUAGUAAAAUUAAUCCAAAUUCAAUUCAUACGUCCACGGAUUGAAUGCAAAUUUGAUACAAUCCGUGUGCAAUCCACCAUCUUGUAUAUUGAUUUUUAAUUAAAAAAAUUUAUUUUAUCCAAUCCACAAAUAAUUAAAUAAAAUCUAAAUUAAUUAAUAUUUUAAAUAACACACCAAAGAGAAAAAAUCUGAUUUGUUUGGAUCAAUGCAUGAAAAUUAACUAAAAUUAUGGAAUAAAAUCAAUUCAAAAGUUGAAACUUGAAACUUUGGAUAAUCUAUCAAAAAGUCCACCUACAAUUCGUAUUUUUUAACAUGAAAAAAGGAUAGAAAUAAUUGAAAUAAAUAACAUAAAAGAAUUUACUCCAAUAAUACUUCUUAGGUAGCUGUAUAUGUUUACUUAAUUAUUUUUUAUUUUCUAUUAUCAAUAGAUAAAAUAUAAUGUAGUAUUAGUGUAACUACAUUUUAACUUAUUUAUACUAAUAAUGCCACAUUUACAAGUUUUAAUUUUUUUAAAAUUAUACACACACAUACACAUAUUACGUAUUUAAGAUUUUUAAGAAUUUACUUUUGUAAAUCUAUAUUAAAUCCAUCGACUGUGAAUUUAAAAUUUUUAAUACAAUUAAAUCCAUUAAUCUAUGAAUUAAAAUUUUACAGAUCAAAUAUUUAUGGAUCUGACAGAUUGAACAGACUGGAUUAAUUCUCAACACUCCUAGCACAUCACACGCUACCCCACUUAAUUGAAAAAAAAAAUGGUUCAGAUUUUAUUUUAUGCUUUGAGUAUUGCCCCCUGAAGCCCUUAGUGAUCUACCUCCUUAAGUCCCUUAGCCCUUGUUUGAGGGAAAUACUCCGACGAGACUAGACGUGAUGAGCAGAUGUUUGGUGGCAGAGUUCUGCGAGCAGGUGUGUCCUGUAAGAGCCAGGUAGCAAGGGAACAGGAGCAGGAAUAUUUUGCUCGUCCACGAAUAUGUCAUUCGCGAGGCCGAACUCCUGUUAGAGGCAUAAGGCCAUUCCUGCUAGGGGUCGAGGCGAGGAGACCCGGUCAACGACAGUUGGCAAGACGUGCAUUCCUAUCCGAGAAUCAAGGCACGAGGUCCAUCUCCAUUCGCCCACAAUGACGAUAAUGGGGUAUCCACAUCCGAGGGUGGGGAGAAUAAUGGGCGUGGACUACGGAAGACCGAGAUUCAGAGGAAGCUUAUAAAACGGUAGCCAACGAAGGUAAAAGGGUUAGAAUUUUUGCUAUUAGAACUAAGAAAAGAGAGCUCUAAAAACUGAGACUAAAGAGAAGCCGUAAGAUUCGUGGCAAACACUCCCAGAACCUUCAUAUCUGACUUGAGCGUCGGAGGGUUUACGCUGGGAAAACAACCGGCGUACUCUGACAUGCUUCUGUGUACGCAAGAACUUUUGGAGAAGAAACCUUACGAGGAGAGAUCCUGGUCGUGGUAGAGUUGGUCGAGCAGAGGUCCUGGUCUUGGUAGAGAAGGCAAUCAGAAUCUCGCAUCAACAUUUUGGCGCCGUCUUUGGGGAACUGAUCAAAAAGCUUCUGUUGAUAGCAAGAAGAGGAGUGAAGCAAGUGGAAAAGCAAUGGAGACAGGAGGAAGUAGUGCACAAGGGAGUGAUAUGAGGCUUAAUGAUUCCGUGACGCUGAGGGAGAUAGCCAGUGAAGCACGGGAAAAAGCCAUGUUCGACUGGAUGGAACGGAUGAAAAAACAGAUGGAGACCCUGACAACCAUCCUACAUGAGCUGCGGAGUGAACGAAGGGGAACCCAGGAGGAAAGGGUGAGAGGUGGUGGAGUGGCACCAAGUCCCGAUAGUACGAGGAGAAGUCAAACUACUGGGAGAUUUGGUGGUGACAGAGGUAACAUACCUCUGCGGGGAGAAUUUCAUAGAGAGGAAAAGCAAUCCCCGGCAAGACAGAUUUUUGACGAGGACGAUGGGGUGGCGAAUGCAGAGGAAACAGAGUUGAGGCAACAUUUGCAUGAUGUAGAGCAAGAGCAGGAUCAAGUUGCAGCACGUGACCUUGGUCGUGCAGUGCAGCUGGAGGAGGAAGUGCGCAAACUAGUGCAGAUAAUUGACGACAUGCAAAGAAGGAGCAGAGCUCCUGGUUGGAGGAUAAUGCUGGAUGGAGAAUCACCGCUCGCAGCAGAGAUCAUGAGGACAGUUAUUCCGAGAGAUUUCCGCCUCCAAGACCUUAAAUAUUCGGGACGAACUGAUCCGCUGGUGCACAUAGAGCGCUUCAACGAUAUAACUAUGGUACAAGGAUUAUCUCAAUCCCAAAGGUGCAAGGUGUUCCCACUAUCCCUUGAGGGACGUGGACGCGAGUGGUACAGAAAACUUCCUCGGGGGAGCAUUAAAACCUUCGAGCAGAUGUGCUAGGAAUUUGCAGAAAAGUUUCGUGGGGCAAUGGCACUAGAAGAUGACAUGAUGGAGUUGAAAAGCAUGAAACAGGGGGAACAAGAAACCCUUAGAGAAUUCAUCAAGAGGUUUCAUCGUGCUGUCCUCGAUUUGGGAGCCUUCAACCAUCCUCAGGCAUUAGGGGAUUGAAAGAAGGGGUGAAGAUAAGAAGGCCGUGGUACAAUUUGAGAAGUCCAGUUAUUCAGACGUAUGCAACCGCAUACGAGCAGGCUAAGAGGGACAUUGAGAUUGAAGAGGAAAAGACAGCACAGAUCAAGACAGACCAGUUAGAAGGGUUGGGAAAGAAAGAGAAGAAAGCAUUACCAGGGAAUAGGCCGAUCAGGAGGAGGGACCAUCAGGCCUCAGGUAGUGGAGCAGGAGGUCGGGUAACAUAAAUUAUGUAAAUUGAACAUUUUCGAAUAUUUUCGAAGGCAUGCAAAGGCUCGCCAAGUCUCAAAGCCUGUUUACGGCGAGACUAGAAGCCAAGCGUGCUAGGAUCUACUCGACCGAGCGGAGGCGAGUAGAAUCCCAAGACAUGCAGAAAACUAAGUCUGAAAGCCAGUCACAUGGCAAAACCAUAUGCCAAGCCAGAGCCUGCUCGGCCAAGCAAAGGCGAGCAGACCCUGAAACGAAAAAAUGACUCGUAAAUACAACACAAGAAAGUAAUCAAAAACAUUUUCAUUAAUUUGUCAAUAACCGAUAAUCUUCGAAUACAUCGUUCAUUACAACACAAGAAACAUGCUCAAGAAGAUGGCGGGUCAGUAAGCCGAGCAGCAUCAGUUGGCUGGACCACCUCAGGUGCAAGGGGGGUAUCAUCAGUUGCGUCCGGAGGGGUGCUCGCCUCAACAACAUCAGCAUGGAUGGCACAAGGAGGAGAGUUUUCCUCCUUGACCAGGAUUGGCUCCCCCCUUCGGCAUCUCCCUUGGCCGCCUCCUCGUCCAUGUGUUGAGCAACACCAGCUGCAAGGUCAUCCAUCUUCAGAUCGGGAUGCUGCUUUCCGAGGACGGCCAUGAUGCAACGAUAGGAAUGUCGAAGUCCCUGGUCGUACUGGUUGUCGGCUUCCUUCUCCAGGUUCUCGACCUAAACCCGGUGGGAGUCGCGGAGAGAUUCGAGCUGAACCUCGUAUAUAGCUUUCUGCCUUUGCAGAUCCUCCUUGAUCUUAGUCAGCUCUUCCUCGAGAGUAAUGGCCUUUGCUUGAGCAAGAGAUUCUUGCUCUAUCAACUUCAGAUUCUCGAGAUUCAGCUCCCCUGCUUUCUUCUCAGCAUCGUCAGCUCUGGUCCUCUCCGACUGAAUGUCCUCCUUCAUCUUCCUGUCAUAACGGCCAACCUUGGCCUUAUAGUAGGUGGUCAUGCAGCUGAGAUGGAAGGCGCUAUACUGCAUGGCUCCCACCAGCUCGCCUAGAGUGCAGCCAUCAAAGUCCUCCAGAUCCUUCUUGCUCAUGAGUCUGGAAAGCUCGUUGAGAUAGGGGGCCAAGUGUUCUGCUCGGCUGUCAGAUAAACGAGAUAUAGGCCCGACAGGAGGAGAAGAGGAAGCAGGAUUAGUGGCUGCUCCACUAGUUUUUCCGACUUUGGCAGGAGGAGGAGGUAGAGUCUUCAGGGGAGGAACCUGCUGCAUAAUAUUCACCUGCUUCGUAGUGGGAGCGUCCUUGCUCUGGUCUAUUUUCGCAGUUUGAGGUCAAGGGCGCUUCCGAGUCAGAGCCCCAAUCACAGCAUCCUCCAUCUUAUGGCCGGGGGGCACCAAACCAGACUCGAACAUGUUAUAGGUAGUUAUCAGCUAUCGGUACAAGCAGGAAUUGGCCAGUACAGCCUCGACCCGUUUGAGCUGGUCGGGUUUAAGCGAGAAGUGAACGCCCCAAGAAUCUGUAAAACGAACAGACAUCUGGUUAGAGACAAAUCAACAAAGUGAGAAUAACUAUGGAGACAAGACAAUUAAAACAAGCAGACAACCUGGAACCACAAAACGGGGUGGGACGCGAUAAUCCUUCCCGUCAACCCGUGCAACCUGACCCCAAGGACCCCCAGCAAAAAAAAAAACUUUUUCUUCCAAUUCCCACCACCACCAGUAGGAAUCUCGGUUAUGGGUUUCCUGGUCUUAGUACUGAAUUGGAAGUAAUACCAGCCAGCAUCUUUGGGGCUACUUUUCAGCUGGUACAGGUGUUUCACCUCCUCAACUGUGGGCUCGCUUUGAUAACAUCUGUCCCACAAUAUGAACAGACCAUAGAGUACUCUCCACCCGUUGGGGUUUAGUUGACCAGGAGCUAGAUUUAGCCCGUUGAGUAUCCGUGCAAAGUAGGGUUGCAAGGGGCACCUCAGCCCAUAAUUGAAGCUCUCCAGAAACAGGGUAACAUAUCCCCUAGGAGAUCUGCUAGGAGCAUCCUUCUUUCCUGGGAUCUUAAGGGGUAUUUCACCAGGAAUAUGAUACCUGAGCCGGAGGUCAUCGAGCUCGUUGAAUGUGGUCGAGCACGUUACGUAAUCAACAGCAUAAUCCCGCGACAGGGUUCUACCUCCUACUGUACUCCGCCCCUCUGGUCACAGUGUUCCUGGCGAGGAUCCCUCACCAGAGUCACCUCCUGGAUCCUCACUUAGGGUAUUUUCCGAGCCAGAAGAUCCCUCCUUACCACUAUUUCCACUCGAGGAGGUUACUUGGGGGGGCAUCCUCCUAGCGCUAGUACCAACACUAGAUCUAAUGGGUUUUAAGGGGAUCCCGGGGUCAAAGGUAUGAUCGGUGAGCAGACUGGACAGGAAGUCUAACUCAUCGUCAUCAACCUCAACGAUUUUCUCUUUACCUUUUGACAUGCCCUAAGCUAUAACUAGAGCAACACCACCAAAUUCUACCCAAACAAAGCAUAGAGAAAAGAAAUUAUCUACAACUAACCAAGACUGAGAAAAUAGAAGAAAUACCUGAAGCAGGGACUCGGUCAGAGAGAGACAUGGAUGAAAGCUUUAAUGCCAAGGUUCAUUCGCCGGAGAGACAAGAAGGGAGAAAAUGACGAGCUCGCGUUUGAGGAUUUUGGGUUUUCUUACUGAGGAGCAAACUCUUGGGCUGCCAGUAUUUAAUGACACAUAUCCCGAGAAUCUUACAACCGUAGGUUUGAAAUUCAAAUGGAGGGGUAGAUUUCUGCCACAUCACUUCAUCCGCAAUUAAAUACGACACGAUUCUUGGCAGCCUUUUCCAGUCCCACGCGAGCAAGAACCGUUGAGUUUCUACUGCUGGUCCAUUACAUUACCCAACACUAGAAACUGGAGGACCGGUGUUUGAGGGAAAUACUCCGACGAGACCAGACGUGAUGAGCAGAUGUUUGGUGGCAGAGUUCUGCGAGCAGGUGUGUCCUGUAAGAGCCAGGUAGCAGGGGAACAGGAGCAGGAAUAUUCUGCUCGUCCACGAAUAUGCUAUUCGCGAGGCCGAACUCCUGUUAGAGGCAUAAGGUCAUUCCUGCUAGAGGUCGAGGCGAGGAGACCCGGUCAACGACAGUUGGCAAGACGUGCAUUCCUAUCCGAGAAUCAAGGCACGAGGUCCAUCUCCAUUCGCCCACAAUGACGAU